CCUACGGGAGGCAGCAGUGGGGAAUAUUGCACAAUGGGGGAAACCCUGAUGCAGCGACGCCGCGUGAGUGAAGAAGUAUUUAGGUAUGUAAAGCUCUAUCAGCAGGGAAGAAAAUGACGGUACCUGAUUAAGAAGCCCCGGCUAACUACGUGCCAGCAGCCGCGGUAAUACGUAGGGGGCAAGCGUUAUCCGGAUUUACUGGGUGUAAAGGGAGCGUAGGCGGCAGCACAAGUCUGGAGUGAAAUGCCGGGGCUUAACCCCGGAACUGCUUUGGAAACUGUGCAGCUUGAGGGCAGGAGAGGUAAGUGGAAUUCCUAGUGUAGCGGUGAAAUGCGUAGAUAUUAGGAGGAACACCAGUGGCGAAGGCGGCUUACUGGACUGUAACUGACGUUGAGGCUCGAAAGCGUGGGGAGCGAACAGGAUUAGAUACCCGUGUAGUC
Molecule: ribosomal RNA, 440 nt
Filed under: uncultured bacterium
Lineage: Bacteria
Description: partial 16S ribosomal RNA
Rfam family: Bacterial small subunit ribosomal RNA
Source: RNAcentral